Molecule: ribosomal RNA, 587 nt
Filed under: uncultured bacterium
Lineage: Bacteria
Description: bacterial SSU rRNA
Rfam family: Bacterial small subunit ribosomal RNA
Source: RNAcentral
CCUACGGGAGGCAGCAGUAGGGAAUCUUCCGCAAUGGACGAAAGUCUGACGGAGCAACGCCGCGUGAGCGAUGAAGGCCUUCGGGUCGUAAAGCUCUGUUGUCAGGGAAGAACAAGUACCGGAGUAACUGCCGGUACCUUGACGGUACCUGACCAGAAAGCCACGGCUAACUACGUGCCAGCAGCCGCGGUAAUACGUAGGUGGCAAGCGUUGUCCGGAAUUAUUGGGCGUAAAGCGCGCGCAGGCGGUUCCUUAAGUCUGAUGUGAAAGCCCCCGGCUCAACCGGGGAGGGUCAUUGGAAACUGGGGAACUUGAGUGCAGAAGAGGAGAGCGGAAUUCCACGUGUAGCGGUGAAAUGUGUAGAGAUGUGGAGGAACACCAGUGGCGAAGGCGGCUCUCUGGUCUGUAACUGACGCUGAGGCGCGAAAGCGUGGGGAGCGAACAGGAUUAGAUACCCUGGUAGUCCACGCCGUAAACGAUGAGUGCUAAGUGUUAGAGGGUUUCCGCCCUUUAGUGCUGCAGCAAACGCAUUAAGCACUCCGCCUGGGGAGUACGGCCGCAAGGCUGAAACUCAAAGGAAUUGACGG